Molecule: ribosomal RNA, 386 nt
Filed under: uncultured soil bacterium
Lineage: Bacteria
Description: bacterial SSU rRNA
Rfam family: Bacterial small subunit ribosomal RNA
Source: RNAcentral
AGAUUGAACGCUGGCGGCAGGCCUAACACAUGCAAGUCGAGCGGCAGCACGGGUACUUGUACCUGGUGGCGAGCGGCGGACGAGGUGAGUAAUGCCUAGGAAUCUGCCUGAUAGGUGGGGGAUAACGUUCGGAAACGGACGCCAAUACCGCAUACGUCCUACGGGAGAAAGGUGGGGGAUCUUCGGACCUCACGCUAUCAGAUGAGCCUAGGUCGGAUUAGCUAGGUUGGUAAGGGUAAGGCCUACCAAGGCUACGAUCCGUAACUGGUCUGGAGAGGAUGAUCGAGUCACACUGGAACUGAGUACCACGGUCCAGACCUCCGUACGGGAGCAGCGAGGUGGGGAAUGUUAGGAACAAGUGGGGACGAAAGGCCCUAGACGUCCGA